This 253-nucleotide ribosomal RNA is filed under the name uncultured bacterium. Its description in RNAcentral is "partial 16S ribosomal RNA". It matches the Rfam family "Bacterial small subunit ribosomal RNA", at positions 524 to 776 of the family's 1533-position model. The record is from RNAcentral.
GACGAACCGUGCGAACGUUAUUCGGAAUCACUGGGCUUAAAGGGCGCGUAGGCGGGCCUGUUAGUCAGGGGUGAAAUCCCACGGCCCAACCGUGGAAGUGCCUCUGAUACUGCGGGCCUCGAGGGAGGUAGGGGCGUGCGGAACUCAGGGUGGAGCGGUGAAAUGCGUAGAUAUCCUGAGGAACACCGGUGGCGAAAGCGGCGCGCUGGACCUCUUCUGACGCUGAGGCGCGAAAGCCAGGGGAGCAAACAGG